This 473-nucleotide ribosomal RNA is filed under the name uncultured bacterium. RNAcentral describes it as "bacterial SSU rRNA". It matches the Rfam family "Bacterial small subunit ribosomal RNA", at positions 28 to 505 of the family's 1533-position model. The record is from RNAcentral.
GGUGAACGCUAGCGGUGCGCCUAACACAUGCAAGUCGAACGCAUUACCCCAUGACCUUUGAAGAGCUUGCUCUGAUUUGUGAUUGGAUUUUGUAAUGAGUGGCGAACGGGUGAGUAACACGUUGGUAUCUGCCCCCAAGUCAGGGAUAGCCAUUGGAAACGAUGAUUAAUACCGGAUAGUCUCUUCGGAGUAAAGAUUUAUUGCUUGGGGAGGAACCUGCGGUCUAUCAGCUAGUUGGUGAGGUAAUAGCUCACCAAGGCUAUGACGGAUAACUGGUCUGAGAGGAUGAUCAGUCACAAUGAAACUGAGACACGGUUCAUACUCCUACGGGAGGCAGCAGUGAGGAAUCUUCCACAAUGGACGAAAGUCUGAUGGAGCGACACCGCGUGAAGGAUGAAGGUCUAACGAUUGUAAACUUCUUUUCUGAGGGAGCAUAAUGAGAGUACCUCAGGAAUAAGGGACGGCUAAUUACG